AUGCUGCUGGUGAGCGCCGCGGGCCGCAGGGGCAUGCACGCCCCCCGGGCCGGGCCGAGCCGAGCGUGCGGCGGACGGACCCCCUCCCGGGUCCGCCGAGGCAGCCACCCGGGGGCGCGGCGGCGGGGGCGGCAGGAGGACGAGGCGCGGGAGGCAGGAUGGAGCUGCCGGAGGAAGAGGCGGAGGCAGGUCCGGGUUUCGAGGCGCCGGCAGGCUGCGGAGGCGGCGGCUACCCCCCGGACGAACCCCCGCUCCCCUCCCCGCCCCCUGCCCGCCGCAAGCGCCGCCCGCCCGGGCGCGGGGUCGCGCGGGAGGGCGGGGAGUCCCGGGCGGCCGGCAGCGGCCACGCAGGAGACGGUUCGCGAUGCAGCCGCGCAGGACCGAAGCCCCCGGCCCGCCCGGCGGAGGGGCGGACCAGGCGGCGGCGGCGGCUGGGACAGCGGCACCUGUACCCCUCGGAGGGCAGACGCAGUGGAGCUGGAGAAGCUCCUCGCCGGGGAAGAAUCAGCGCACACAUUGGUGACUGAGAACCAACAGAGGUGUGAGUGAAUAAAGGAGCCAGAGGGGAAGGACUCGUGUUUGAUUUUGAAAGGAACUGAAAAGAGUGAGAAGACGAGAUGAGACAUAGGAUCACCCUCCGUGAAACCAUCUUUUCCCACUGAAACUGAUGGAAAACAGAAAAAGGUUUAUGAGGUCCUCUACCAAGAGGAAGUUGAAAGAAAAGAGCCAGGCUUUAGAGUGGGGUCUAGCCCAGUAUGACUGGUAUCCUUAUAAAAAGGGGAAAUCUG
Molecule: RNA transcript, 788 nt
Organism: Cervus elaphus (red deer)
Lineage: Eukaryota; Metazoa; Chordata; Mammalia; Artiodactyla; Cervidae
Gene name: translation initiation factor IF-2-like
Exons: 3
Source: RefSeq, a predicted model, not a curated record